Molecule: ribosomal RNA, 358 nt
Filed under: uncultured bacterium
Lineage: Bacteria
Description: bacterial SSU rRNA
Rfam family: Archaeal small subunit ribosomal RNA
Source: RNAcentral
UCCUAGCUGUAAACGCUGCAGGCUUGGUGUUGGAGCUCCUUCGAGGGGUUCCAGUGCCGUAGCGAAGGUGUUAAGCCUGCUGCUUGGGGAGUACGGUCGCAAGACUGAAACUUAAAGGAAUUGGCGGGAGAGCACAGCAACGGGAGGAGCGUGCGGUUUAAUUGGAUCCAACGCCGGAAAACUCACCAGGGGCGACUGUUACAUGAAGGCCAGGCUGAUGACCUUGCCUGAUUUUCAGAGAGGUGGUGCAUGGCCGCCGUCAGUUCGUACCGUGAGGCGUUCUCUUAAGUGAGAUAACGAACGAGACCCUCGCCCCUAUUUGCCAUCCUUCUCUUCGGAGAUGGAGCACUAGUAGGGG